AUUAGAAAUUCUGAAGAUCUAAAACUUAAAAAUUAAAUAAGAUCUUAAUUUAAUUACAAUUAUAUGUGGGACCCUGCUUUAUUAAUUGUUUAAACAAACUAUGGAGAAUACAAUUGCAGAGAUACAUUCUAGUGGCUUUUGAACUACUAUUAGGUUCUUCAUAGAGAAUAAGAAGAAAUUCAGGCUGUAAGAAAUUUGUAACAAGACAUAAAAUAUUAUAAUUGUUGUCAAUCAUAUAGUUGAUUGUUUCAGAAGGUUCAAGCGGUAAAGAAUGAAACUUUAUCAAAUUUGAAGCUUUAGUAAUGAUAAAGAUUGAUAUUCUAAUAAACUGUAAUAAGUAUAAGAACAGGAAC
RNAcentral lists this unclassified non-coding RNA (353 nucleotides) under Bombus terrestris (buff-tailed bumblebee). RNAcentral describes it as "misc RNA ENSBTSG00005022712.1". Lineage: Eukaryota; Metazoa; Arthropoda; Insecta; Hymenoptera; Apidae. The record is from RNAcentral.